UAAACGAAUUGUGGUUAAUCG
RNAcentral lists this non-coding RNA (21 nucleotides) under Caenorhabditis elegans. The record is from RNAcentral. Lineage: Eukaryota; Metazoa; Nematoda; Chromadorea; Rhabditida; Rhabditidae.